Molecule: ribosomal RNA, 253 nt
Filed under: uncultured bacterium
Lineage: Bacteria
Description: partial 16S ribosomal RNA
Rfam family: Bacterial small subunit ribosomal RNA
Source: RNAcentral
UACGUAGGGGGCAAGCGUUGUCCGGAAUUAUUGGGCGUAAAGAGCGUGUAGGCGGUCCGGUAAGUCAGCUGUGAAAGUCAAGGGCUCAACCCUUGAAUGCCGGUUGAUACUGUCGGGCUAGAGUCCGGAAGAGGCGAGUGGAAUUCCCGGUGUAGCGGUGAAAUGCGCAGAUAUCGGGAGGAACACCAAUGGCGAAGGCAGCUCGCUGGGACGGUACUGACGCUGAGACGCGAAAGCUAGGGGAGCGAACAGG